CAACAACAACAAACCAACCAAACAAACCAAAAAAACCAGGACUCUAGCUAAAAACAAAUGUAUUCAUGAGGAUUGCUAACCCAACAUCAAGCACAACAAGAGUUACUUACAUGGAGCUAAACCAUUAAAGGAUUAAAAUAAUUUUUCAUGAUAUUUAAAACAGUGUUUGACACUUUUCAUGUUUCAUUCUUCAGAGUCAAAAAAGCUUAUUUUUGGAAACCUGUUAGCUUACAACAUAUUGGGUAAUUUUGUGAGCAGAAUUGGAAAGAUUUAUCUUUCUCUAUACCCAAUUUCUCUAAAAAUAAGAAACUAUUAGUGGGUAUUCUUAAUUUAUGUCACUAUAGUUAUUUUCAUCAGUUUCAUAAGGAUCUAUUUUCUUUUAUAACAGGACACAAUUGGAGAUACUGCUUAUUUUGCCAAGGCUUUGACUGGAAUGGCAUAUUUUCAGAUAUGCCCAGAAUGAUUUGAGGAUUGAUAUUGGCUUAAUAGAGCUGAUAAAAAUUCCCUUGGAAAGACUGCUCAGAAAUGUCCAUGCAUUUUAUUUAAAAGUUCAUGAUCUGUGCCCUGCAAACUGAAACUAGACAACUUACAUAAACUUUUGGAGAAAUCAUAGCAACUUAUAUAUAACAACCUCUGUGCCUGCAGAUGUAUGGACUACACAACAGGUGUUUACGGACACUGUUUUAUGAACACUGGAUUCAGAGUAUAACUUAGGGAGACCUGUAAGAUUGCCAGUGCAAUUGGAAGAUGCUUCAGAGACUCUAGAAAGAUGAAUCUACAGACUUCUCCAGACAUUAAAGAAUUCCAGAACUUUGAGAGGCCAAGGCAGAAGGAU
Long non-coding RNA from Sapajus apella (tufted capuchin), 835 nucleotides. RefSeq lists it as uncharacterized. NCBI's taxonomy places the organism in Eukaryota, Metazoa, Chordata, Mammalia, Primates, Cebidae. The record is from RefSeq and is a predicted model, not a curated record. The transcript is spliced from 3 exons.